GUGGGGACAGGACAUUUUCAUGCUCAUUAUCCCAAUCGUGGUUUCUGUUCCCUGUCCUCAGUUUGUUUUGUCUUCCUUCCCCCCCCCCCGGCUGGCUGCUGGCUUGCUGCUUAGCUUGCUUGCUGCUUUGGCUUGCUGCUGGCUGCAUGCUUUGCUGGCUCUGCUUUCCUCUCUUUUUUCUCUGCUUUUCGCUGGCUUGCUUUUUUGCCAUUUUUUUUUCCCUUUUUCCCGGUUUCCGUUUUUCCCUUUCCCCCCCCCCCCCCCGAAGACAUCGGACCUACUCCGGGCAGGAGCUCCCCCGGGGUCUGCAAAAGAAGCUGCGUACCCUCUGCGGCGAAGAGAGAUACAGCUCAACCCUCUUAGACUGGUGAAAACAUCUGUGGUCAUCUUGGGCUAUUUCUCUUGUGCUGGGGAGUGUUUUUUUUGUUGUGCCUUAAUAAACAAGUUUUUUCCACUUUCCCCUCUGAAGGAAUUCCUCCCGAACCCGGUGGUGGGGGGAGGUUGCGGAGGGUUUGGUUUCCUAUAGGGGGCUCCUUUGGAGGUGUUUUCCCCUAAUUUGUCCAAAACCAGGACAAAUAAUUUGGUGGCCCGUACGGGGAGGCCCAGACAAAGUGGAAAAAACUUUAUUCUAAUAAUAUUUUUGGCUUUAACCGUUCUGCGGGAAUAUUGGUAUGUCUCUUUUUAAAGUUAUGAUGUCAUUUGGAGUGAAAGCCUGCCUCUAUAUGUGGUCAUUAGGGUUCUUCGAAGUUUUGAUCGCUUUAUGGUCCCUGGAGUUAUUUUCUUAUCCAGAAGUAGCUCCGACAUCGGACCUACUCCGGGCAGGAGCUCCCCCGGGGUCUGCAAAAGAAGCUGCGUACCCUCUGCGGCGAAGAGAGAUACAGCUCAACCCUCUUAGACUGGUGAAAACAUCUGUGGUCAUCUUGGGCUAUUUCUCUUGUGCUGGGGAGUGUUUUUUUUGUUGUGCCUUAAUAAACAAGUUUUUUCCACUUU
This is a long non-coding RNA of Vidua macroura (Pin-tailed whydah), 990 nucleotides long. RefSeq lists it as uncharacterized. Lineage: Eukaryota; Metazoa; Chordata; Aves; Passeriformes; Viduidae. The record is from RefSeq and is a predicted model, not a curated record. The transcript is spliced from 2 exons.